Molecule: non-coding RNA, 231 nt
Filed under: Bacillus sp. (in: firmicutes)
Lineage: Bacteria; Bacillati; Bacillota; Bacilli; Caryophanales; Bacillaceae
Also listed under: 1 other name
Description: Bacillus sp. T-box sequence
Rfam family: T-box leader
About the family: Uncharged tRNA acts as the effector for transcription antitermination of genes in the T-box leader family. T-boxes are found upstream of many aminoacyl-tRNA synthetase genes and some amino acid biosynthetic genes usually in Gram-positive bacteria.
Source: RNAcentral
UAAAAACCGAUGAUGGAGCAUAGUAAUUAAGCCGAAAAUCAUGGACAGAGAGGGAUUGCCUUGGGCUGGAAGCAAUUCUGCAUGAAGGAUUAAUGAAUGAACACUCCGUAGGUUUCUCCUUGAACCAACAGUAGGGGAGAACGUUGCAGGCGUUAACUGUAAAAGAGGAAGCCUCGUUUUUCAGGCUUCAAUUAGGGUGGCACCACGGGAAACAAAACUCUCGUCCCUUGU